GUCGGUGGCUGCUGGGCGGGCGGGGCGCAGGCCGCGGGACCCGAGCCCGGGGGAGCGAGAGAGCGGAAGCGCCGAGGAUCCGAUUCACUCGCUGGGGAGACCUAUGGGCCGAAGCCGUGUAAAUGCGUUUUAAGCAGGGGCCUCGGCUCCGCAACUGCCACUCCUCCUCGGGGUGUUGCACAAGUUUCGAGGUCACCGGCGACCCCCCCUAGCAGCGCGCCUGGCUCUGGCCCCCGCGAAGGAGGACGGAGCUUGGACCAGGUAGCUGCCUUCUUCGUGGCUGACCUGGGUGCCAUAGUGAGGAAGCACUUUUGCUUUCUGAAGUGCCUGCCACGAGUCCGGCCCUUUUACGCUGUCAAGUGCAACAGCAGCCCAGGUGUGCUGAAGGUUCUGGCCCAGCUGGGGCUGGGCUUUAGCUGUGCCAACAAG
Molecule: small RNA, 429 nt
Filed under: Pongo abelii (Sumatran orangutan)
Lineage: Eukaryota; Metazoa; Chordata; Mammalia; Primates; Hominidae
Description: processed transcript
Source: RNAcentral